Molecule: long non-coding RNA, 925 nt
Filed under: Sinocyclocheilus anshuiensis
Lineage: Eukaryota; Metazoa; Chordata; Actinopteri; Cypriniformes; Cyprinidae
Description: lncRNA (ENSSANG00000014236.1)
Source: RNAcentral
GAUUUAAUGAGUAUGGGGGAGGUAAAUGGUAGAAAUAGCAAUGUGAACUACAUUUCCCAUGACCCCCUUCAGUCAACAUGUUUGAAUACUCACAUCAGAGCAGCAUUUUCUUGUUCAAUGUGUUGUUGCUUCUCCUCCAUGGAUUUGACACAAGCUUCAAAAACAUCAACAAACAACUUUAAGAAGUUACCUGAGCAGUUUCCCAACCACCAUUAUGCUACAGCAUUGGCGCCACAGUCUGUGAGGCAUGUUACUUCAAGCAGCGUGAGCUUGUUAUCCCUAAAAGACAGAGGAAAAGAGCCCGACCGAGGAGAACCAGGGGUGUGGAGGAGACAAGACAAGGAAUUUCAAUGAAACCGACUGCUGCAGCGGCCAAUCAGCUGCGGAGUUCUGCGGCCCAGAGGGCUCAUGGGAGGAGAGCUGUCUGCUUGUUUUCACCCUUCGCUAAUAUAGAACCAAGACUGAUCCAGCAUCACUCCCUGUUCCUCUUAUGUACCCCAGGCGGUGGAUGCGGGCAUCUGGCAAGCGCUACAGGAGACGGGCUGUAUGGAGUGUUGAAUGGCGACGUUCUGCCGUCUCGAUUUUACCUGCACUCAGCCGCUGUUACUUAAAAGACGCACUCUUGCUACAGUGCUUUUAAUACCAGUUUCCUCUGUGCACCAUCUAUAUGAGGAACGCAUUAGAUUGCUUUGCUUUGCUCACUGCAAUGGGAGAUACGCUAUCAAUUAUUCAUUGAUAAUGCGUUCAUUUACUCGGAUUUUGCUUAACCAGCCAUAGAGAGAGGCAGAGGAACAUGGCAAUAUUGCUAAAGAGCUAUUUUUACAACCCUCUGAUAGCGAUGGCUUUGCGCUGCGGGAGCUUGACGUGUCUUGCGCUCCUUGUUAGUUGUUGUAUUAAGCAAUUUGUGAGUUCAACUAGAAAUGUA